CCCUUAGAGUUUGAUCCUGGCUCAGGAUGAACGCUAGCUACAGGCUUAACACAUGCAAGUCGAACGGGAAAUAUUUCAUUGAGACUUCGGUGGAUUUGAUCUAUUUCUAGUGGCGGACGGGUGAGUAACGCGUGGGUAACCUGCCUUAUACAGGGGGAUAACAGUCAGAAAUGGCUGCUAAUACCGCAUAAGCGCACAGAGCUGCAUGGCUCAGUGUGAAAAACUCCGGUGGUAUAAGAUGGACCCGCGUUGGAUUAGCUUGUUGGUGGGGUAACGGCUCACCAAGGCGACGAUCCAUAGCCGGCCUGAGAGGGUGAACGGCCACAUUGGGACUGAGACACGGCCCAGACUCCUACGGGAGGCAGCAGUGGGGAAUAUUGCACAAUGGGGGGAACCCUGAUGCAGCGACGCCGCGUGAAGGAAGAAGUAUCUCGGUAUGUAAACUUCUAUCAGCAGGGAAGAUAGAGACGGUACCUGACUAAGAAGCCCCGGCAAUUAC
RNAcentral lists this ribosomal RNA (499 nucleotides) under uncultured bacterium. RNAcentral describes it as "bacterial SSU rRNA". It matches the Rfam family "Bacterial small subunit ribosomal RNA", at positions 1 to 503 of the family's 1533-position model. The record is from RNAcentral.